GACGAACGCUGGCGGCGUGCUUAACACAUGCAAGUCGAACGCUGAAGCUCAGCUUUUGUUGGGUGGAUGAGUGGCGAACGGGUGAGUAACACGUGAGUAACCUGCCUCCUUCUUUGGGAUAACGCCCGGAAACGGGUGCUAAUACUGGAUAUUCACUGGUCUUCGCAUGGGGGUUGGUGGAAAGGGUUUUUCUGGUGGGGGAUGGGCUCGCGGCCUAUCAGCUUGUUGGUGGGGUGAUGGCCUACCAAGGCUUUGACGGGUAGCCGGCCUGAGAGGGUGACCGGUCACAUUGGGACUGAGAUACGGCCCAGACUCCUACGCGAGGCAGCAGUGGGGAAUAUUGCACAAUGGGCGCAAGCCUGAUGCAGCGACGCCGCGUGAGGGAUGGAGGCCUUCGGGUUGUGAACCUCUUUCGCUCAUGGUCAAGCCGCAACAAUGGUUGUGGUGAGGGUAGUGGGUAAAGAAGCGCCGGCUAACUACGUG
RNAcentral lists this ribosomal RNA (483 nucleotides) under uncultured bacterium. Its description in RNAcentral is "partial 16S ribosomal RNA". It matches the Rfam family "Bacterial small subunit ribosomal RNA", at positions 28 to 507 of the family's 1533-position model. The record is from RNAcentral.